Molecule: long non-coding RNA, 425 nt
Organism: Gallus gallus (chicken)
Lineage: Eukaryota; Metazoa; Chordata; Aves; Galliformes; Phasianidae
Source: Ensembl
GCUGGAUAUCCCUGCCUACCUGGAGUCUUCUAAAGAACAGAUCCCUGGAUUUUUUUGCUACAAGCUUUGUCAUCUAGAAGAGCCUUCAAAUCCCUAGUGUGGCUAAUAAGACCUACCUGCUAAUAUAACUUAAAAGUAAUUAAAGAGCACUUCUGUGCAAGGUUUAAGUUCCUGAUAAAAGAAUGACUCAAUGGUGCACUUAUGCAGAUUCCUAGGAUCGCUGUCCUGUAAUAGCAAUUUAUAACUGAAAAGUUUCUGAAACUAUUUAGCAGUUUUCAGCCUCAAUUUGAAGAGAUGUCUGCCUGAAGAUUAAACAGUCAUGAAACCAGCUACCAAACGCAGCAAUCAAGAUACUGCUAACCAAGUUUAAUCCUGAUCUGGAAUAUCAUUAGAAAAUUUGGAGGAUUAAAGUACAUUACAUAUGG